This 492-nucleotide ribosomal RNA is filed under the name uncultured bacterium. RNAcentral describes it as "partial 16S ribosomal RNA". It matches the Rfam family "Bacterial small subunit ribosomal RNA", at positions 29 to 507 of the family's 1533-position model. The record is from RNAcentral.
AGUGAACGCUGGCGGUAGGCCUAACACAUGCCAGUCGAACGGCAGCACAGUAAGAGCUUGCUCUUACGGGUGGCGAGUGGCGGACGGGUGAGGAAUACAUCGGAAUCUACUUUUUCGUGGGGGAUAACGUAGGGAAACUUACGCUAAUACCGCAUACGACCUACGGGUGAAAGCAGGGGAUCUUCGGACCUUGCGCGAUUGAAUGAGCCGAUGUCGGAUUAGCUAGUUGGCGGGGUAAAGGCCCACCAAGGCGACGAUCCGUAGCUGGUCUGAGAGGAUGAUCAGCCACACUGGAACCGAGACACGGUCCAGACUCCUACGGGGGGCAGCAGUGGGGAAUAUUGGACAAUGGGCGCAAGCCUGAUCCAGCCAUACCGCGUGGGUGAAGAAGGCCUUCGGGUUGUAAAGCCCUUUUGUUGGGAAAGAAAAGCAGCAGGUUAAUACCCCGCUGUUCUGACGGUACCCAAAGAAUAAGCACCGGCUAACUUCGUG